Long non-coding RNA from Orbicella faveolata, 432 nucleotides. Lineage: Eukaryota; Metazoa; Cnidaria; Anthozoa; Scleractinia; Merulinidae. The record is from RefSeq and is a predicted model, not a curated record.
GAAAUUAUGGCGGGGAAUAUGCAGAACACGGCACAUUAUGGCGAGAAAAUACUGUUACAUACAACCCUUGGGGUAUCGCUGGGUAAGCAUAAAGCUGUAAUUUCCUCAGCAGAGGAUAUGAAAGGGUUUUAUUCCGGGAAGACGGGACGAUGAAGAAAUAAAUUGCUUGGACAUUCCUGACUAUACAGUGUACAUGUAUUGUAUUUCUCUUAGGAGUUCCCUCCUCCAAGCUCCGCCAUGACACCAGAAGCUACGCGGCAAAGAUGGCAGCAAGGUACAGCCUUUAAGACUCAAAAGGAAGUAGUUAAGGCGAUCUUUGUGAAUAAUAUUGAAAGGCUUGGUCACCACUAUGCUCGAGUGUUUGAUAAAUCUUGGUGAAUUAGUACACCAGUGUCAGGAGGUCAAAAUGUAAAUAAAUGUAUAGUUACCGAG